GAUGAAGAACGUAGCGAAAUGCGAUAAGUAAUGUGAAUUGCAGAAUUCAGUGAAUCAUCGAAUCUUUGAACGCACAUUGCGCCCCUUGGUAUUCCGAGGGGCAUGCCUGUUCGAGCGUCAUAUUAACCACUCCCGCUUGCGGGGUCUUGGGCUUCGCCUCCGGGCGGGCCUUAAAAUCAGUGGCGGUGCCGUCGGGCUCUACGCGUAGUAAAUUUUCUUGCGAUAGGGUCCCGGUGGAUGCUUGCCAACAACCCCCAACUUCUUAAGGUUGACCUCGGAUCAGGUAGGGAUACCCGCUGAACUUAAGCAUAUCAUAAGCGGAGGA
This 325-nucleotide unclassified non-coding RNA is filed under the name soil metagenome. RNAcentral's name for it is "partial contains 5.8S ribosomal RNA, internal transcribed spacer 2, and large subunit ribosomal RNA". The stretch from base 1 to 120 matches the Rfam family "5.8S ribosomal RNA", at positions 35 to 154 of the family's 154-position model. The record is from RNAcentral.